This 64-nucleotide transfer RNA is filed under the name Liposcelis paeta. Its description in RNAcentral is "tRNA-Gln". The record is from RNAcentral. Lineage: Eukaryota; Metazoa; Arthropoda; Insecta; Psocodea; Liposcelididae.
AGUUUGUUAGUGUCAUAUCACAUUAAGUUUUGAAUUUAAAGAUGUAAAUUUUUUACACAUUCAU